AAAGAGAAGUGGCUGUCAGAGCAGGGCACUGAACCAGCCAAACCAUUCCUCAGCGCUGGAAAGGAGAUGGCUAUUAGAGUGAAUAAGUGCCAGGUCACUGCUGAACUGUGACAGGCGUGCGGGAGGGCUGAAGUGUUUACUGGCCUUUAUAGUCAGGCCCACUCACAGGACGCUGCGGGGUCCUCACAGGGAUGACUGGUCAAAUUAUAAGAGACAGAUUUACUACGUGUUUACACUGGGCAAAAGUUCUCACCUGGAUUUUUCGGUUGGAAAUAUAUCAAAUUUGUCUAAACUGAUAUAUUAAGGCUAAGAGAAGGAUUGAGACCUCAAAUGGAGACACCAAAAAGUACUCGACGGGAUCGAUGGGACUGCAGUGGAGAAGGUAAAAAGCUCCUCAGUGUACACAUCACUGACUAUCUGAAAUGGUCCACCCACAAUUGAGAGCAUCCUGUCGGGCUGUAUCACCGCCUGGUACGGCAACUGCACCGCCUGUAGCCGCAGGGCUCUCCAGACGGUGGUAUGGUCUACCCAACUCAUCACUGGGGGCACACUGUCUGCCCUCCAGGACACCUACAGCACCCAGUGUCACAGGAAAGCCAAAAAGAUCAACAAGGACCAACCACCCGAGCCACGGCCUGUUCACCCCGUUAUCAUUCCGUUGGCAAGGACCUGAGCCGUAGGACCAUGCCUCAGGACUACCUGGCAUGAGUACUCCUUGCUGUCCCCAGUCCACCUGGCCGUGCUGCUGCUCCAGUUUCAACUGUUCUGCCUGCGGUUAUGGAAUCCUGACCUGUUCACCGGACGUGCUACCUGUCCCAGACAUGCUGUUUUCAACUCUCUAGAGACAGCAGGAGUGGUAGAGAUACUCUUAAUGAUCGGCUAUGAAAAGCCAACUGACAACUACUGUGAUUAUUAUUAUUUGACCAUGCUGGUCAUUUAUGAACAUUUGAACAUCUUGGCCAUGUUCUGUUAUAAUCUCCACCCGGCACAGCCAGAAGAGGACUGGCCACCCCUCAUAGCCUGGUUCCUCUCUAGGUUUCUUCCUAGGUUUUGGCCUUUCUAGGGAGUUUUUCCUAGCCACUGUGCUUCUACACCUGCAUUGCUUGCUGUUUGGGGUUUUAGGCUGGGUUUCUGUACAGCACUUUGAGAUAUCAGCUGAUGUACUAAGGGCUAUAUAAAUACAUUUGAUUUGAUUUGUGUUCACUUGGUACAGAAAUAAAAACAGCAUUUAUUCUAAAUUACGGUAAAAUAUAAAUUGCGUGUGUUGAUGUGUGUGUAGAGCACCAGUCCCUCUCCUCUUGUUGUUGUAAACCCUAAUGCACUGUUCAGAUGGCUGUGCUCCAGUCAGUCUGUCCCUGUAUGUGUCUCAGAGGCCUAGUCUAUUGUUACUUCCCUCAGCUCUCAAUGUUUAGGAUUGGAGCGAGCUGCUCUGCCCAGAGAGGGACAAGGAGAAUACUGGUGGAGAGAAUACACCAUGGCCAGAACACACUAUCAGUACAGGACCAGUCAAAACAUCCCAUAAUCAUAAAACCUAAACCCUGUGUCCAUAAUGACCAGUUCCCUCUGCUGUGCUGUCAUUGGCUGGAUUACAAUUAGGAUUAGGAUGGAUCGGUUUAGCUGCUAGGCUGAUUGAAAUACAGUAAAAAAAUAAAUAACAAUAAGGCUUUUUCAUUGAUGUGCUGUCUUUUGUGUAAACAGUGGUUUAUACAGUGUCAGGUACAGAUAAUCCUACCAAUUCAGGAGGAUUACAGAGAAUCAAUAGUGACCCAGUCUUUACAUGAGCAGACAAAAUCAUCAGGGAUCUACCUUUCAGAGCAGAA
Molecule: long non-coding RNA, 1820 nt
Organism: Oncorhynchus masou masou (cherry salmon)
Lineage: Eukaryota; Metazoa; Chordata; Actinopteri; Salmoniformes; Salmonidae
Exons: 3
Source: RefSeq, a predicted model, not a curated record